This 225-nucleotide long non-coding RNA is filed under the name Homo sapiens (human). RNAcentral describes it as "LNC_000857". The record is from RNAcentral. Lineage: Eukaryota; Metazoa; Chordata; Mammalia; Primates; Hominidae.
CUCCGUGGUCAGACGGUCUCCAUCUAACUCGAUGUACUUUUCAGGCUCCCGGUACUUGCUGUAUAGAUAAACUCCUUCUGGUUGAGAUGGAAUGAAGUCAGGAGACAUGGCAUCACCCUCUAUAACCACUUCCACGAACUCGUUGUUCUCUAGGGCCACCUCGAGCCGGUCCUCGUUGUCCAGCAGGCCCAGGCCCUUGCACCGGCGCACAAGGAAGUGCGCGUC